CCUUUAUUAUGUUGAGGUAGGUUCCCAUUAUGCCCACUUUCUGAAGGAUUUUUAUCAGAAAUGGGUGUUGGAUUUUGUCAAAGGCUUUUUCUGUAUCUAUUGAGAGGAUCAUAUGUUUUUUAUUCUUCAGUUUGUUAAUGUGGUGUAUCACACUGAUGGAUUUGUGGAUAUUGAAGAACCCUUGCAUCCUUGGGAUAAAUCCCACUUGAUCAUGAUGUACAAUCCUUUUCGUGUAUUGUUGGAUGCGAUUUGCUAGCAUUUUGUUGAGGAUUUUUGCAUAAAUGUUCAUCAGUGACAUUGGCCUGUACGUUUCUUUUUUUUGUGAAGUCUUUGUCUGGUUUUGGUACCAGGGUGAUGGUGGCCUCAUAGAAUGAGUUUGGGAGUAUCCCUUCUUCUGCAAUUUUAUAAAAUAGUUUCAGAGGAUAGGUGUACUUCUCUAAAUGUUCAGUAGAAUUCGCCUGUGGAGCCAUCUGGUCCUGGACUUUUGUUUGUCGGAAGUUUUUUCAUCACAGUUUCAAUUUCAGUUCUUGUGAUGGGUCCAUUCAUCUUUUCUAUUUCAUCUUGGUUUAGUCUUGGGAGAUUGUACUUUUCUAAGAAUUUUCCCAUUUCUUCUAGGUUGUCUGUUUUAUUGGUGUAUAGUUGCAUGUAUUUUAUCUCUUAAGAUCGUUUGUAUUUCUGUGAUGUCUAUUGUUACCUCUCCUUUUUCAUUUCUAAUUUUAUUGAUUUGAGACCUCUCUCUUUUUUACUUGAUAAGUCUGGCUAAGAGUUUAUCAAGGUUCAUCUUUUCAAAGAACCAGGUUUUCGUUUCAUUGAUCUUUUAUAUGGUUUUCUUUGUUUCUACUUCAUUGAUUUAUGCUCUGAUCUUUAUGAUGUCUUUCCUUCUAGUAGCUUUAGGUCUUGUCUGUUCUUCUCUCUUGAGCUGCUUUAGAUGUAGAGUUAGCUUGUUUAUUUGAGCUUUUUCUUGUUUCCUGAGGUGGGCUUGUAUUGCUAUAAACUUUCCUCUCAGAAUGGCUUUUGCUGCAUCCCAUAGGUUUUGGAGUGUCGUAUCUUCGUUGUCAUUUGCUGCUAGGUAUUUUUUAAUUUCCUCUUUGAUUUCUUCAUGAUCCAUUGGAUGUUGAGUAAUAUGUUGUUGAGUCUCCACGUGUUUGUGUUUUUUGCAUAUUUUUUCUUGUUGUUGACUUCCAGUCAUAUAGCAUUGUGGAUGGAAAAGAUGCUUGAUAUGAUUUCAAUUUUCUUAACGUUACUUAUGUUGGAUUUGUAGCCCAGGAUGUGAUCAAUCUUAGAGAAUGUUCCAUGUGCACUUGAGAAGAAUGUGUAUUCUGUUGCUUUUGGAUGGAAUGCUCUAUGAAUCUCUAUUAAGUCCAUAUGGUUUAAUGCUUCAUUCAGGGCCUGUGUUUCCUUAUUGAUUUUCUGUCUGGAUGAUCUGUCCAUUGGUGUAAGUGGGGUGUUAAAAUCCCCCACUAUGAUUGUGUUAUAUUUGAUUUGUCCUUUUAAGGUUGUUAGCAGUUGCCUUAUAUAUUGUCGUGAACCUAUGUUGGGUGCAUAGAUAUUUGAAGUUGUUUUGUCUUCUCCUUGGAUUGAUUCUUUGAUCAUUAUGUAGUGACCUUCUUAGUCCCUUAAAAUAUUCUUCACGUUAAAGUCUAUUUUGUCUGAUGCGAGUAUUGCUACUCCAGCUUUCUUUUGAUCCCCAUUUGCAUGAGAUACUUUCUUCCAUCCUCUUACUUUCAAUUUGUGUGUCCCCCUAGAAGUGAAGUGGGUCUCUUGAGGACAGCAAAUAUAUGGGUCUUGUUUUUAUAUGCACUUAGCCAAUCUAUGUUUUUUGGUUGGGGUGUUUAGUCCAUGAACUUUUAAGGUAAUUAUUGGUAUGUAUGUUCUUAUUGCCAUUUUAUUAAUUGCUUUGGAUUUGUUUUUGUUGCUCUUUUUCCUUUCCUUCUUUUCUUGUUCUCUCCUCUUGUGGUUUGAUGACUAUCUUUAGUGUUGUAUUUGAGUUGAUUUUUCUUUUUUUUUGUAUCAAUUGUAGAUUUUUGGUUUGCAUUUACUCUGAAGUUUUGAUAUAAGAGUGUAUAUGUAUAUGAGAUUGUUUUAAGUUGUUUGUCUCUUAAUUGCAAGUGCAUCUCCAGUGUCCUGCAUUUGUACCCUCUUCUUCCCAUGAUUUCUGAUUUUGGUGGCAUAAUUGUGCAUGGAUGAUUUCAUAUCUUUACUGUAUAUAUACCUUUACUGGUGAGCCUUGUCAUUUGUGGUAUUUUUGUUUCUGGUUGUGGCCUUUUCUUUUCUGCCUGGAGUAAUUCCUUUAGUAUUUGUUGUAAAGCUGGUUUAGUGUUGUUGCAUUCUCUUAGCUUUGGCUUAUCUGUGAAGCUUUUGAUUUCUCCUUCACAUCUGAAUGAGAGCCUUGCUGGGUAAAGUAAUCUUGGCUGGAGGUUUUUUCUUUUCAUCACAUUAACAAUAUCAUGCCACUCCCUUCUGGCCUGCAGUUUCUGCCGAAAAAUCUGCUGAUUACCUCAUCAGGUUUCCCUUGUAUGUUUUUGUUUCUUUUCCCUAGCUGCUUUCAAGAUUUUCUCUUUGUCUUUAAUUUUGGUCAGUUUGAUUAAUAAGUGUCCUGGGGUGUUCCUCCUUGGGUUUAUUUUAUAUGGUACUCAUUGAGCUUCCUGGAUUUGAGUGAGUGGUUCCUUUCCCAUGUUGGGAAAUUUUUGACUAUUAUUUCUUUGAAUAUUUUUUCUGUCCCUUUCUCUCUCUCUUCUCCUUCUUGCACCCCUGUAAUACGGAUGUUGGUGCAUUUAACAUUGUCCCAGAGUUCUCUGAGACUGUCUUUAUUUGUUUUCAAUCUUUUAUCUCUUUUCUGUUCCACAUCCAUAAUUUCUACUAAUCUCUCCUCCAUCUCGCUUAUUCGUUCUUCUGCCUCCUGUAUUCUGCUGUUAGCUGCUUCUAGUGAAUGUUUUAUUUCAAUGAUUGUAUUUCAUAUCUCUUCUUGUUUGUUUUAUAUCUUGUAUCUCUUUGGUCAGUGUUUCCUGUAAGUUAUCCACCUUUGCUUCCAGUUUAUUUCCAAUGUCUUGCAUCAUCUUCAGCAUCAACAAUCUAAAGUCUUGGAGUUCCCAUCGUGGCACAGCGGAAAUGAGUCUGACUAGGAACUGUGAGGGUUUGAAGGUUCGAUCCCUGGCCUCGCUCAGUGGGUUAAGGAUCUGGCGAUGUGGUGAGCUGUGGUGUAGGUCACAGACGGGGCUUGGAUCUGGCAUGUCUG
This 3235-nucleotide long non-coding RNA is filed under the name Sus scrofa (pig). RNAcentral describes it as "lncRNA (ENSSSCG00060040881.1)". Lineage: Eukaryota; Metazoa; Chordata; Mammalia; Artiodactyla; Suidae. The record is from RNAcentral.